AAAGUCGUAACAAGGUAACCGUAGGUGAACCUGCGGUUGGAUCAUUAACAAAUUCAACUUUGUUGAAGGGAGUCUUCAAAACAGUAAAAAGAUUUGAAACUCUCUUCUUCAAGCACCCCUUUGUGAACCGUUUAUUGUCUCUGGUGUGGUUAAAUGUAGACUCUAGAGCUUGGGCCUUAAACUCCUUUGCUCUUCGUUUAUGGGGAAACACCUUUUUGGCUUUCCUCACCCACUGUUAUAUAUUUAAACUACUAGUCAAUAUUCGUCUAACCAAGUUAUAUUUUUUAAUAAAAAACAACUUUUGACAACGGAUCUCUUGGCUCUC
This 325-nucleotide unclassified non-coding RNA is filed under the name Chytridiomycota sp. RNAcentral describes it as "partial contains small subunit ribosomal RNA, internal transcribed spacer 1, and 5.8S ribosomal RNA". The stretch from base 1 to 47 matches the Rfam family "Eukaryotic small subunit ribosomal RNA", at positions 1785 to 1831 of the family's 1831-position model. The record is from RNAcentral. Lineage: Eukaryota; Fungi; Chytridiomycota.